RNAcentral lists this long non-coding RNA (227 nucleotides) under Zostera marina. Its description in RNAcentral is "long non-coding RNA (ZMAR_LNC003269)". The record is from RNAcentral. Lineage: Eukaryota; Viridiplantae; Streptophyta; Magnoliopsida; Alismatales; Zosteraceae.
UACAUUUCAUACGAAGCCUCUGUUUAAAAACGAUCAUAUUGGACCUUGGCUGAAAGCAUCAAAGGGAAAGAAAAAUGGGCGCAUUCUGGGAUUUAGAGUUGGCAAUGACUCUAUGUUAUCAAAUAAGAGGAGAAAGAAAAUGAGCAAUGAGGAAACUGAGAAGCACAACACUGAAGAAUUUGAAUUGACAGUUUCCAAAGCCGUUGAAAAACGAAUGGAAGCGUUCG